CGUAACAAGGUCUCCGUUGGUGAACCAGCGGAGGGAUCAUUACAGAGUUAUCCAACUCCCAAACCCAUGUGAACUUAUCUCUUUGUUGCCUCGGCGCAAGCUACCCGGGACCUCGCGCCCCGGGCGGCCCGCCGGCGGACAAACCAAAACUCUUGUUAUCUUAGUUGAUUAUCUGAGUGUCUUAUUUAAUAAGUCAAAACUUUCAACAACGGAUCUCUUGGUUCUGGCAUCGAUGAAGAACGCAGCGAAAUGCGAUAAGUAAUGUGAAUUGCAGAAUUCAGUGAAUCAUCGAAUCUUUGAACGCACAUUGCGCCCAUUAGUAUUCUAGUGGGCAUGCCUGUUCGAGCGUCAUUUCAACCCCUAAGCACAGCUUAUUGUUGGGAACCUACGGCUUCGUAGUUCCUCAAAGACAUUGGCGGAGUGGCAGUGGUCCUCUGAGCGUAGUAAUCUUUUAUCUCGCUUCUGUUAGGUGCUGCCCCCCCGGCCGUAAAACCCCCA
This 498-nucleotide ribosomal RNA is filed under the name fungal endophyte sp. bn7. RNAcentral describes it as "eukaryotic LSU rRNA". The stretch from base 198 to 351 matches the Rfam family "5.8S ribosomal RNA". Lineage: Eukaryota; Fungi. The record is from RNAcentral.